GGUCCGGUGGUGUAGUUGGUUAUCACACUCGCUUCACAGCGCAUGUCAUGAUUACAUGACGUAGGACUCGCGAGAGGUCAUGAGUUCGAGCCUCGUCCGGAUCA
Molecule: non-coding RNA, 104 nt
Organism: Puccinia sorghi
Lineage: Eukaryota; Fungi; Basidiomycota; Pucciniomycetes; Pucciniales; Pucciniaceae
Source: the annotation of a GenBank genome assembly